This 381-nucleotide ribosomal RNA is filed under the name Priestia flexa. Its description in RNAcentral is "bacterial SSU rRNA". It matches the Rfam family "Bacterial small subunit ribosomal RNA", at positions 69 to 442 of the family's 1533-position model. The record is from RNAcentral. Lineage: Bacteria; Bacillati; Bacillota; Bacilli; Caryophanales; Bacillaceae.
AUCGGAGGGAGCUUGCUCCCGAUGAUUAGCGGCGGACGGGUGAGUAACACGUGGGCAACCUGCCUGUAAGACUGGGAUAACUCCGGGAAACCGGGGCUAAUACCGGAUAAUAUCUUUUUAUACAUAUAAUUAGAUUGAAAGAUGGUUCUGCUAUCACUUACAGAUGGGCCCGCGGCGCAUUAGCUAGUUGGUGAGGUAACGGCUCACCAAGGCGACGAUGCGUAGCCGACCUGAGAGGGUGAUCGGCCACACUGGGACUGAGACACGGCCCAGACUCCUACGGGAGGCAGCAGUAGGGAAUCUUCCGCAAUGGACGAAAGUCUGACGGAGCAACGCCGCGUGAGUGAUGAAGGUUUUCGGAUCGUAAAACUCUGUUGUUAG